RNA transcript from Mus musculus (house mouse), 2011 nucleotides. It is a transcript of the gene named Zn regulated GTPase metalloprotein activator 1, with no coding region annotated. The transcript has 15 exons. The record is from RefSeq and is marked validated. NCBI's taxonomy places the organism in Eukaryota, Metazoa, Chordata, Mammalia, Rodentia, Muridae.
AGCCCCGCGCCGACUGAAUCCUGUCGCGGAAACGCGACUGGCGGCAGCUCUUUAGUUCUGGAGUCACUGGUGUCCUGCUGGCGGCAUGUUACCUGCUGUGAAAACUGUGGAGGCGGAAGAAGAGUACGCGGAGGAUUGUCCUGAAUUGGUCCCCAUUGAGACCAAGAACCAAGAAGAGGAAAAUCUUGACUUCAUCACUAAGAUUCCAGUCACAAUUGUCACCGGGUACUUAGGUAAUUAAGGGGGGCUGCCGUGUCUCCUCAGGCACCCGGGCCUCCUGGCCGAGGACGAAUCUUCGAGGUGCUGGAAAGACAACACUUCUGAACUACAUUUUGACAGAACAACAUAAUAGAAAAAUAGCAGUGAUUUUAAAUGAAUUUGGAGAAGGGAGUGCAGUAGAGAAAUCCUUAGCUGUCAGUCAAGGUGGAGAACUCUAUGAAGAAUGGCUGGAACUUAGAAAUGGUUGCCUCUGCUGUUCAGUCAAGGACAGUGGCCUUAGAGCUAUAGAGAAUCUGAUGCAAAAGAAGGGCAAGUUUGACUACAUACUCUUAGAGACCACUGGGCUAGCAGAUCCUGGUGCAGUGGCUUCUAUGUUUUGGGUUGAUGCUGAGUUAGGGAGUGAUAUUUAUCUUGAUGGUAUCAUAACUGUUGUAGAUUCAAAAUAUGGAUUAAAACAUUUAACUGAAGAAAAACCUGAUGGCCUUGUCAAUGAAGCUACUAGGCAAGUUGCAUUGGCAGACAUGAUUCUCAUCAAUAAAACAGACUUGGUUUCAGAAGAGGAGCUAAACAACUUAAGAACAACUAUCAGAUCAAUAAAUGGACUGGGAAAAGUUUUAGAAACUCAGAGAUCAAGAGUUCAUCUCUCAAAUAUAUUAGACCUUCAUGCCUAUGAUAUUCUCUCUGGAAUAAGUUUACAGAAAAAGCUCCAGCAUGUGUCAACAGCACCCCACCUUGAUCAGAGUAUUGUUACAGUCACAUUUGAAGUACCAGGAAGUGCAAAGGAAGAAUGUCUAAAUGUAUUUAUCCAGAAUCUCCUGUGGGAAAAGAACGUGAAAAACAAGGACGGCCACUGCAUGGAGGUCAUUCGGCUAAAGGGACUGGUGUCUAUCAAAGACAAACCACAGCAAAUGAUUGUGCAAGGCAUCCAUGAGCUGUACGACCUGGAAGAAAGCCUAGUGAACUGGAAGGAUGAUGCGGAGAGAGCGUGUCAGCUGGUCUUCAUUGGUAGAAAUUUAGAUAAGGAUGUUCUUCAACAACUCUUCCUCACUGCUGUGGCAGAGGCAGAAGAGCAAAGGACAGCACCAGGCAGAGAUGGAGUUUGUCCAUCGCACUAGAAGCUGUUUCUUACCGGAAGAACUGACGAGAAAAACAAAGAUGUAUUUAAAUCCUGGAUCCACUACCGCUGUUGUGAUUUGGGAGUAUACGUAUAAUAGUAUUUAUUUUAUAAAAACACAUAACAUUGUAGUAAAUUAUUAUAAAAAAUAUCUGAUAUUCAUAAAAUAUAUCCUCUGGAGGUUUUUUUUGAGGCAAGUAUUUCACAAAAGUUCCAGAAUUUUCUUUGAAGUUUAAGUAUGACUGCUGACAACUUAUCCAUCAUUAUUUGUAAAAAUGAUGGCAAACAUUUUCAUUUUCUCUUAAAAACUUCAGGUUAUUGCUGAGAUACAAUGAAUACAGUGAUAGUAACAAAAAAUUGCUAUCAUUAUAUUUAAAACCAGCUUAACCUUUAUUUUUAUGCUAUGUGUGUGAGUAUUUUGCCUGCAUGUAUGUCUGUGUACUUUGCACAUUCAGUGUCUGAAGUCCAGAAGGCACCAGAUCUCCUGGAGCUGAAGUCACAGACGGUUGUAAGUCUUCAUGUGGGUGCUGUGAACUAAACCCAGGUCCUCUGGAAGAACAGCCAGCACUCUUAACUACUGAGCCAUCCAUCUCUUCAACUCUCUCACUGUGUUUUUAGGAGAAUGAGUUUUUAAUGUUCCUAAAGAGUCAAAGAAAUUAAACCAUCUCUUACAAUCAG